CUACCCCAGAGUCUGGAAUAACCUGCCGAAAGGCGGGCUAAUACUGGAUAGAGCGAUGAAAUCCGUAAUUGGGUUUUUCGGGAAAGGGAGGAAGCAAUUCCCUUCGCUCUGGGAUGAGUCUACGUCUCAUUAGCUAGUUGGUGGGGUAAUGGCUCACCAAGGCUUUGAUGGGUAGCUGGUCUGAGAGGAUGAUCAGCCACACUGGAACUGAAACACGGUCCAG
Molecule: ribosomal RNA, 223 nt
Filed under: uncultured bacterium
Lineage: Bacteria
Description: partial 16S ribosomal RNA
Rfam family: Bacterial small subunit ribosomal RNA
Source: RNAcentral